UAUUCUUGAAUAUCCAGAUAUUUUGAUAUUUUCCAUUAGGAACAGCUAAUGAUCAAAUCAAAUCAUUCUCACGUUUAUGCUUUCCUCCAUUUUGAUAUUUUCCAUUAGGAACACAGCACACUUCUGGGUGUGACUGUGAAGGUAUUUCAAGAAAUUUUUGUCAGGUUGAGGGAAGUGAGUCAAAGAUCCAGCCUGAAUAUGAGCAAAAUAGUAGGAGAAACCAUCAUCUCUUCUCUCUCCACUUCCCCACUUGACCAAGUGCACUGACCCACUUGACCACUGUUCCCUGUGUGUGCCAAAUACUAGGUUUCUUAGAUUUUGAAUGUGAACUUGCACUAGUGAACCUUCAGAGACUUUCAGACCUAAGGAUACAAACAGGGGAGCAUACUGUGCAUUUUCUACCCCACAACCCCCACCUUCUUGUACUGAGUAACUACCAGUUUCCCUGGUUAUCCUGAGUGAAAAUAGUCAUUGGUGAACAUUUCAGCCUGUGUGACUUUG
RNAcentral lists this long non-coding RNA (501 nucleotides) under Marmota monax (woodchuck). The record is from RNAcentral. Lineage: Eukaryota; Metazoa; Chordata; Mammalia; Rodentia; Sciuridae.